This 167-nucleotide long non-coding RNA is filed under the name Numida meleagris (helmeted guineafowl). Its description in RNAcentral is "lncRNA (ENSNMEG00000002459.1)". The record is from RNAcentral. Lineage: Eukaryota; Metazoa; Chordata; Aves; Galliformes; Numididae.
GUGGAGGUGACACUCUGUGGGGAGGUGACACUGUGGGGAGGUGACAUGGUGGAGGUGACACGGUGGAGGUGACACUGAGGGGAGGUGACACAGAGGGGAGGUGACACAGUGGAGGUGACACUGUGGGAAGGUGACAUGGUGGAGGUGACACGGUGGAGGUGACACCG